This is a non-coding RNA of Saimiri boliviensis boliviensis (Bolivian squirrel monkey), 686 nucleotides long. NCBI's taxonomy places the organism in Eukaryota, Metazoa, Chordata, Mammalia, Primates, Cebidae. The record is from RefSeq and is a predicted model, not a curated record.
AUGUAUAAAGCAUCCGCGCAGGAGGCAGUAGGCAGCCGUGGGCCCAGCCGGAACGGCGUGAUCCUGAAGCCCCACUUCCCCCAGGACUGGCAGCGGCGCGUGGCCACGUGGUUCACCCAGCCUGCGCUGAAGAUCCGCAGACUCAAGGCCCGCGCAAGCCAAAGGCGCGCUGCAUCGCCCGCGCGGCCCGCGUUGAGACCCCUCUGGCUCCUCACGCGGUGCCCCCCUGUGCGGUAUCAAACCAAGGUGUGCGCCCGCCGCGGCUUCAGCCCGGAGGAGCUCAGGGUGACGGACAUUCACAAGAAGGUGGCUGGGAUCACUGACAUCUCUGUAGAUUGUGGACUCGAGAGGGCAGCACAAGUCCACCGAGCCCCUGCAGGCCAAUGUGCGGCGGCUCAAGGAGCACUUCUCCAAACGCACCCUCUUUCCCAGGAAGCCCUCGGCCCCCAAGAAGGGAGACAGUUCUGCUGAAGAACUGAAACUGGUCACCCAGCUGACAGGACCGGUCAUGCCCAUCCGGAAUUUCUGUAAGAAGGAGAAAGCCCGGCCGGCUACCACUGAGAAGUAGAGGACUUUCAAAGCUUUCCCUAGUCUCAGCAGGGACCGGUGCCAACACCUGGCUCUUUGACAUACGGGCAAAAAGAGCCAAGGAAGCUGCAAAACAGGAUGUUGAAAAGAAAAAAUAA